This 429-nucleotide ribosomal RNA is filed under the name Chloroflexota bacterium. RNAcentral describes it as "Chloroflexi bacterium partial 16S ribosomal RNA". It matches the Rfam family "Bacterial small subunit ribosomal RNA", at positions 355 to 776 of the family's 1533-position model. Lineage: Bacteria; Bacillati; Chloroflexota. The record is from RNAcentral.
UGGGGAAUAUUGCACAAUGGGCGCAAGCCUGAUGCAGCCAUGCCGCGUGUAUGAAGAAGGCCUUCGGGUUGUAAAGUACUUUCAGCGGGGAGGAAGGGAGUAAAGUUAAUACCUUUGCUCAUUGACGUUACCCGCAGAAGAAGCACCGGCUAACUCCGUGCCAGCAGCCGCGGUAAUACGGAGGGUGCAAGCGUUAAUCGGAAUUACUGGGCGUAACGCGCACGCAGGCGGUUUGUUAAGUCAGAUGUGAAAUCCCCGGGCUCAACCUGGGAACUGCAUCUGAUACUGGCAAGCUUGAGUCUCGUAGAGGGGGGUAGAAUUCCAGGUGUAGCGGUGAAAUGCGUAGAGAUCUGAAGGAAUACCGGUGGCGAAGGCGGCCCCCUGGACGAAGACUGACGCUCAGGUGCGAAAGCGUGGGGAGCAAACAGG